UGUUGCGGCGGCUGUGCGCGGGCACGCUUCGGCGUGGUCGAGUCUCCGAUGCUCGGUAUUCCUACCCCGCGUAUAGCUGCCACCCAA
RNAcentral lists this non-coding RNA (87 nucleotides) under Pseudomonas arsenicoxydans. Lineage: Bacteria; Pseudomonadati; Pseudomonadota; Gammaproteobacteria; Pseudomonadales; Pseudomonadaceae. The record is from RNAcentral.